UGGUUCUGGCAUCGAUGAAGAACGCAGCGAAAUGCGAAAAGUAAUGUGAAUUGCAGAAUUCAGUGAAUCAUCGAAUCUUUGAACGCACAUUGCGCCCGCUAGUAUUCUGGCGGGCAUGCCUGUCUGAGCGUCAUUUCAACCCUCAUGCCCCUAGGGCGUGGUGUUGGGGAUCGGCCAAAGCCCGCGAGGGACGGCCGGCCCCUAAAUCUAGUGGCGGACCCGUUGUGGCCUCCUCUGCGAAGUAGUAAUAUUCCGCAUUAGAGAGCAGCGAGCCCCUGCCGUUAAACCCCCCAAUUUAUCAAGGUUGACCUCAGAUCAGGUAGGAAUACCCGCUGA
This 336-nucleotide unclassified non-coding RNA is filed under the name uncultured fungus. RNAcentral describes it as "partial contains 5.8S ribosomal RNA and internal transcribed spacer 2". The stretch from base 1 to 133 matches the Rfam family "5.8S ribosomal RNA", at positions 22 to 154 of the family's 154-position model. The record is from RNAcentral. Lineage: Eukaryota; Fungi.